Dallia pectoralis (Alaska blackfish) is the source of this 73-nucleotide non-coding RNA. The record is from the annotation of a GenBank genome assembly. NCBI's taxonomy places the organism in Eukaryota, Metazoa, Chordata, Actinopteri, Esociformes, Umbridae.
CCCUGUUUGGAGCAGUGGUUAGUGUGCUCGGCUGCAGAGCCGGGGGACGCUGGUUCGAUUCCCUCACCAGAUG